RNAcentral lists this ribosomal RNA (487 nucleotides) under uncultured Methanolinea sp. RNAcentral's name for it is "bacterial SSU rRNA". It matches the Rfam family "Archaeal small subunit ribosomal RNA", at positions 851 to 1338 of the family's 1478-position model. The record is from RNAcentral. Lineage: Archaea; Methanobacteriati; Methanobacteriota; Methanomicrobia; Methanomicrobiales; Methanoregulaceae.
GAAACUCAAAGGAAUUGACGGGGAGCACCACAACAGGUGGAGCCUGCGGUUUAAUCGGACUCAACGCCGGGAAACUCACCAGAUAAGACAGCUGAAUGAUAGUCGGGCUGAAGACUCUACUUGACUAGCUGAGAGGAGGUGCAUGGCCGUCGUCAGUUCGUACUGUGAAGCAUCCUGUUAAGUCAGGCAACGAGCGAGACCCACGCCAACAGUUGCCAGCGUACUCUCUGGAGUGACGGGUACACUGUGGGGACCGCCGCUGCUAAAGCGGAGGAAGGAAUGGGCAACGGUAGGUCAGUAUGCCCCGAAUAUCCCGGGCUACACGCGAGCUACAAUGGUUGGUACAAUGGGUAUCUACCCCGAAAGGGGACGGGAAUCUCCUAAAACCAAUCUUAGUUCGGAUUGAGGGCUGCAACUCGCCCUCAUGAAGCUGGAAUCCGUAGUAAUCGCGUUUCAACAGAACGCGGUGAAUACGUCCCUGCUCCUU